This 137-nucleotide ribosomal RNA is filed under the name uncultured bacterium. RNAcentral describes it as "partial 16S ribosomal RNA". It matches the Rfam family "Bacterial small subunit ribosomal RNA", at positions 355 to 509 of the family's 1533-position model. The record is from RNAcentral.
UGGGGAAUAUUGCACAAUGGGGGAAACCCUGAUGCAGCGACGCCGCGUGAGUGAAGAAGUAUUUCGGUAUGUAAAGCUCUAUCAGCAGGGAAGAAGAAGACGGUACCUGACUAAGAAGCCCCGGCUAACUACGUGCC